AAGCGCCUGAAAAACGAAAAAAAAGGAAAAGUGUGGGGAACCGAGGUCGUCUUGGGCUGUCGCCUCUCCCUCUCCCAGAAGGAAUGAAGAGGUUCUUGGAAAGCAGGGACGGGCGAUUCUCUCUGUCAGCAUCAGCUCCCACCAGCGAGGACGGGGCGAGAAAGCGAAACGGGGCUUUCCUUGCUGUCUAUUUUUUCUUCGUCAGGCCAACGCCGCCUGCUCACAGGGGCGCAGGCGAGUUCCCGCCAAAUGGCGCGGGGGCGCAAGCAGUUGCGUGAGUUGCCGCCAAAUAGCUCUGGAUGCCAGCUCGUUCCGCGUCUCUUGGUAGACUAGUUGGUGCAUUUCUGCUAUCAUGGACUGCGCAUAUAAACGCAAACUACACAAAAGUGACAUGGACAAGAACAGCGCAAGCCCUUUCCAUGCAGUGGAGCCGCCGUAUCUCGCCGUUCAAGAUAUGCGUACUCGAAGAAAAAAAAAAGAGGCUUUACAUGAGAACGGAUCAAGCGUUCGAGAGUUGGGACAGGGAAAUGUGAGACGUACUUUCAUGUAUAUAUUUCUAAUAUUAUUUUUUCGUCUUGUAUUCUCGUUAAUUUUUCUCUAGGAAACACUGGAACGACACUGCUUAAAUUGAAGCACAGUGUGCGAAUGACCUGCUACGCUCGGAACUGUUAUCACCAUUCGGGAAGAAAUUGGAUGAAAAAACAUAACUGUAAAUACCUGUAUGAUAUACGUCUGGUGCAUUGCAGGUAAGAAUGGAUUGUGUGUGGCGCGCUUCACCGCAUGUGGACUAGAGUAGAUCUAGGAACAUCAGACAAGAAGACACGUAUGUGAAACCCUGCGGAUAGCCCAUAUGUGAACUUUUUUUCCAGAUACGGAGGAACGGACACCGGUCGUGCCGUGAGCACUAUUCUGCAGGGCAUACUUACAAAUGAAGCUGCACUGCAGUUCAGCUGGAAAGGGUCGCAGGGGAGGAAGCACGCCUUCGUGAAGCUCAUGGCCAUCACGAAUAUAACAUCUGUGAGGAGCACGUUCCCUGACGCUUCACUAGCAUCAAUGGCUGGAGUCGCAAAGCGCUGGUUGGUUGGAGCAGCUGACAGGGAUGGAGGCCGGAAUGAAAGAAGGCGCCGUGACCCUGCUUCAAGCCCACCAAAUAUGAACUAGUGUUUAAAACUUGUGAAUGUGUCGGUGUACAUAUACAAUUACAAGAAAUAAAGACCUGUAUCAGAA
Long non-coding RNA from Dermacentor andersoni, 1227 nucleotides. RefSeq lists it as uncharacterized. The record is from RefSeq and is a predicted model, not a curated record. NCBI's taxonomy places the organism in Eukaryota, Metazoa, Arthropoda, Arachnida, Ixodida, Ixodidae.